AGAGUUUGGUUGUAGCUGGUCCCUAAUUAACUUGGGGGCAUGUGCACACCUUUCUCUUUCAUCCCAUACACACCUGUGCACCUGUGAGACAGAUGUUUUCUAGGGGGGAAAGGAACUUUAUUGGACCUACUCCUCUUGGAACUUCUGUCUACUUAAUCUAUAUAAACUCAAUUUAUUUUAAAAUGAAUGUAAUGGAUGUAACACAUCUAAUACUAAGUUUCAACAACGGAUCUCUUGGCUCUCGCAUCGAUGAAGAACGCAGCGAAAUGCGAUAAGUAAUGUGAAUUGCAGAAUUCAGUGAAUCAUCGAAUCUUUGAACGCACCUUGCGCUCCUUGGUAUUCCUUGGAGCAUGCCUGUUUGAGUAUCAUGAAAUCUUCAAAGUCAAACCUUUUGUUAACUCAAUUGGUUCUGCUUUGGUAUUGGAGGUCUAUUGCAGCUUCACACCUGCUCCUCUUUGUGCAUUAGCUGGAUCUCAGUGUUAUGCUUGGUUCCACUCAGCGUGAUAAGUUAUCUAUCGCUGAGGACACCCUGUUAAAAAGGGGUGGCCAAGGUAAAUGCAGAUGAACCGCUUCUAACAGUCCAUUCACUUGGACAAAUAUUAAUUUUAUGAUCUGAUCUCAAAUC
RNAcentral lists this unclassified non-coding RNA (625 nucleotides) under Thanatephorus cucumeris. RNAcentral's name for it is "sequence contains ITS1, 5.8S rRNA gene, ITS2". The stretch from base 215 to 368 matches the Rfam family "5.8S ribosomal RNA". The record is from RNAcentral. Lineage: Eukaryota; Fungi; Basidiomycota; Agaricomycetes; Cantharellales; Ceratobasidiaceae.